This 648-nucleotide ribosomal RNA is filed under the name uncultured bacterium. RNAcentral describes it as "bacterial SSU rRNA". It matches the Rfam family "Bacterial small subunit ribosomal RNA", at positions 232 to 885 of the family's 1533-position model. The record is from RNAcentral.
CGCGGCCUAUCAGCUUGUUGGUGGGGUGAUGGCCUACCAAGGCGACGACGGGUAGCCGGCCUGAGAGGGUGACCGGCCACACUGGGACUGAGACACGGCCCAGACUCCUACGGGAGGCAGCAGUGGGGAAUAUUGCACAAUGGGCGGAAGCCUGAUGCAGCGACGCCGCGUGAGGGAUGACGGCCUUCGGGUUGUAAACCUCUUUCAGUAGGGAAGAAGCCUUUCGGGGUGACGGUACCUGCAGAAGAAGCGCCGGCUAACUACGUGCCAGCAGCCGCGGUAAUACGUAGGGCGCAAGCGUUGUCCGGAAUUAUUGGGCGUAAAGAGCUCGUAGGCGGUGUGUCGCGUCUGCCGUGAAAACCUACAGCUUAACUGUGGGCGUGCGGUGGAUACGGGCAUCACUUGAGUUCGGCAGGGGAGACUGGAAUUCCUGGUGUAGCGGUGGAAUGCGCAGAUAUCAGGAGGAACACCGGUGGCGAAGGCGGGUCUCUGGGCCGAUACUGACGCUGAGGAGCGAGAGCGUGGGGAGCGAACAGGAUUAGAUACCCUGGUAGUCCACGCUGUAAACGUUGGGCGCUAGGUGUGGGGUGCUGUCCAUGUACUCCGUGCCGUAGCUAACGCAUUAAGCGCCCCGCCUGGGGAGUACGG